This 253-nucleotide ribosomal RNA is filed under the name uncultured bacterium. Its description in RNAcentral is "partial 16S ribosomal RNA". It matches the Rfam family "Bacterial small subunit ribosomal RNA", at positions 524 to 776 of the family's 1533-position model. The record is from RNAcentral.
UACGGGGGGUGCGAGCGUUGUCCGGAAUCACUGGGCGUAAAGGGCGCGUAGGUGGUCUUGUAAGUCUGUGGUGAAAGCCCGGGGCUCAACCCCGGGUCUGCCGUGGAUACUGUGAGACUUGAGUACUGUAGAGGCUGGUAGAAUGCCGGGUGUAGCGGUGGAAUGCGUAGAGAUCCGGCAGAAGACCGGUGGCGAAGGCGGCCAGCUGGGCAGUAACUGACACUGAGGCGCGACAGCGUGGGGAGCAAACAGG